This 305-nucleotide long non-coding RNA is filed under the name Bos taurus (domestic cattle). Its description in RNAcentral is "long non-coding RNA NONBTAT015977". The record is from RNAcentral. Lineage: Eukaryota; Metazoa; Chordata; Mammalia; Artiodactyla; Bovidae.
AUUCAUUGACCUCAUUUUAUAGAUUGGUUACUUGAUCAGCUCUCAUGCAUCAAUGAAAUAUAUGUAUAUCAAAUUUGACAUUCAUUCCCAUUAUUAUUUAAGAUGUUUUGAUAGGACAAAACAUACAAAUAAACAAACUUGGCCCCAGAAGUUAAUAUAUUUCUUAUGUAAGUAUCAUAAUAUUUAUAGCAAGGGAUGAUAAUACUUUUUCAAAUGUAUGGGUUAUUUUAUUUUUCUAAUCAGUUCUGUGAACUUGAGCAUAAUGUUUUAAUUUACCAAAGUUAUGCAAAGUAUGUAAUUUACUA